AAGUCGUAACAAGGUUUCCGUAGGUGAACCUGCGGAAGGAUCAUUAUCGUUGGGCUUCGGCCCAUUCGAGAUAACACCCUUGCCUUUUUGAGUACCUUUUCGUUUCCUCGGCAGGCUCGCCCGCCAACGGGGACCCUUCAAAACGCUUUGUAAUACCUGUAAUUGUCUGAUAUAACAAGCAAAAAUCAAAACUUUCAACAACGGAUCUCUUGGUUCUG
Molecule: unclassified non-coding RNA, 218 nt
Filed under: Sporormiella persica
Lineage: Eukaryota; Fungi; Ascomycota; Dothideomycetes; Pleosporales; Sporormiaceae
Description: Preussia persica partial internal transcribed spacer region
Rfam family: Eukaryotic small subunit ribosomal RNA (bases 1-46)
Source: RNAcentral